UACGGAGGGUGCAAGCGUUGUUCGGAAUUACUGGGCGUAAAGCGCGUGUAGGCGGCCUUUUAAGUCUGGUGUGAAAUCCCGGGGCUCACCCCCGGAAGUGCACUGGAUACUGGGAGGCUCGAGUACCGGAGAGGAGGGUGGAAUUCCUGGUGUAGCGGUGAAAUGCGUAGAUAUCAGGAGGAACACCGGUGGCGAAGGCGGCCCUCUGGACGGAUACUGACGCUGAGGCGCGACAGCGUGGGGAGCAAACGGG
Molecule: ribosomal RNA, 253 nt
Filed under: uncultured bacterium
Lineage: Bacteria
Description: partial 16S ribosomal RNA
Rfam family: Bacterial small subunit ribosomal RNA
Source: RNAcentral